This 1489-nucleotide ribosomal RNA is filed under the name Lactiplantibacillus plantarum. RNAcentral describes it as "bacterial SSU rRNA". It matches the Rfam family "Bacterial small subunit ribosomal RNA". The record is from RNAcentral. Lineage: Bacteria; Bacillati; Bacillota; Bacilli; Lactobacillales; Lactobacillaceae.
GACGAACGCUGGCGGCGUGCCUAAUACAUGCAAGUCGAACGAACUCUGGUAUUGAUUGGUGCUUGCAUCAUGAUUUACAUUUGAGUGAGUGGCGAACUGGUGAGUAACACGUGGGAAACCUGCCCAGAAGCGGGGGAUAACACCUGGAAACAGAUGCUAAUACCGCAUAACAACUUGGACCGCAUGGUCCGAGUUUGAAAGAUGGCUUCGGCUAUCACUUUUGGAUGGUCCCGCGGCGUAUUAGCUAGAUGGUGAGGUAACGGCUCACCAUGGCAAUGAUACGUAGCCGACCUGAGAGGGUAAUCGGCCACAUUGGGACUGAGACACGGCCCAAACUCCUACGGGAGGCAGCAGUAGGGAAUCUUCCACAAUGGACGAAAGUCUGAUGGAGCAACGCCGCGUGAGUGAAGAAGGGUUUCGGCUCGUAAAACUCUGUUGUUAAAGAAGAACAUAUCUGAGAGUAACUGUUCAGGUAUUGACGGUAUUUAACCAGAAAGCCACGGCUAACUACGUGCCAGCAGCCGCGGUAAUACGUAGGUGGCAAGCGUUGUCCGGAUUUAUUGGGCGUAAAGCGAGCGCAGGCGGUUUUUUAAGUCUGAUGUGAAAGCCUUCGGCUCAACCGAAGAAGUGCAUCGGAAACUGGGAAACUUGAGUGCAGGAGAGGACAGUGGAACUCCAUGUGUAGCGGUGAAAUGCGUAGAUAUAUGGAAGAACACCAGUGGCGAAGGCGGCUGUCUGGUCUGUAACUGACGCUGAGGCUCGAAAGUAUGGGUAGCAAACAGGAUUAGAUACCCUGGUAGUCCAUACCGUAAACGAUGAAUGCUAAGUGUUGGAGGGUUUCCGCCCUUCAGUGCUGCAGCUAACGCAUUAAGCAUUCCGCCUGGGGAGUACGGCCGCAAGGCUGAAACUCAAAGGAAUUGACGGGGGCCCGCACAAGCGGUGGAGCAUGUGGUUUAAUUCGAAGCUACGCGAAGAACCUUACCAGGUCUUGACAUACUAUGCAAAUCUAAGAGAUUAGACGUUCCCUUCGGGGACAUGGAUACAGGUGGUGCAUGGUUGUCGUCAGCUCGUGUCGCGAGAUGUUGGGUUAAGUCCCGCAACGAGCGCAACCCUUAUUAUCAGUUGCCAGCAUUAAGUUGGGCACUCUGGUGAGACUGCCGGUGACAAACCGGAGGAAGGUGGGGAUGACGUCAAAUCAUCAUGCCCCUUAUGACCUGGGCUACACACGUGCUACAAUGGAUGGUACAACGAGUUGCGAACUCGCGAGAGUAAGCUAAUCUCUUAAAGCCAUUCUCAGUUCGGAUUGUAGGCUGCAACUCGCCUACAUGAAGUCGGAAUCGCUAGUAAUCGCGGAUCAGCAUGCCGCGGUGAAUACGUUCCCGGGCCUUGUACACACCGCCCGUCACACCAUGAGAGUUUGUAACACCCAAAGUCGGUGGGGUAACCUUUUAGGAACCAGCCGCCUAAGGUGGGACAGAUGAUUAGGGUG